Molecule: ribosomal RNA, 383 nt
Filed under: uncultured eukaryote
Lineage: Eukaryota
Description: partial 18S ribosomal RNA
Rfam family: Eukaryotic small subunit ribosomal RNA
Source: RNAcentral
CAAUAGCGUAUAUUAAAGUUGUUGCAGUUAAAAAGCUCGUAGUUGGAUUUCUGGUGGGAGCGAUCGGUCUGGCGCUUAGCGCGAGUACUUGCAUCGUCUCCGGCCAUCCUUGGGGAGAGUCUGUCUGGCAUUAGGUUGUCGGGCAGAGGAUCCUCAUCGUUUACUGUGAAAAAAUUAGAGUGUUCAAAGCAGGCUUAUGCCGUUGAAUAUAUUAGCAUGGAAUAAUAAGAUAGGACUUUGGUACUAUUUUGUUGGUUUGCGCACCAAAGUAAUGAUUAAUAGGGACAGUUGGGGGUAUUAGUAUUCCGUUGUCAGAGGUGAAAUUCUUGGAUUUACGGAAGACGAACUACUGCGAAAGCAUUUACCAAGGAUGUUUUCAUUAA